Molecule: non-coding RNA, 736 nt
Organism: Pelobates cultripes (western spadefoot toad)
Lineage: Eukaryota; Metazoa; Chordata; Amphibia; Anura; Pelobatidae
Source: the annotation of a GenBank genome assembly
GAGCUGUGGACUGGAAAGGAAGGUCUUUUCUUAUGCAAAUCUCCAAAGUGUCUGUCAGAAGCUGAACAUUCUCUGGUUUCUUCUGGUAAAUCCAAUGUUCUUCUAACAGCCAUAAUCAAAUGCUCCAUGGCUUUGGAGUCCAAGGAGCAAGGUUGUUCCAUAUACUCCUCUUCACUGGACGAGAUUGGCUCCAAAUCCAGGUAAGAUGAAGUCUGUCUGUAUUCAUCGUCAGACUGAUCUGAAUUCAUGCCGAAGGUCUCCCCUCUUGAUCUCUUGAUCUCUUGGGAUUCAGCAAUUCCCUCAACCACUGCAUGCUUAAUCCAAUAAGCAAUAUCCUUGGCUGAGGUAGAGUCUUGUGGUGACCUCUGGCGAUCAGAUUCUCCUGCGCCCAUGGUUAAGCAUUUUCUGCAGAGCCUGCAGUUAUCCAUAGGCCUUGCUCCACAUCCAGGGCAGGCUGCCGGUUUCUCCCUUCUCCUCGAUGGGGAUCUGGGACAGGACCGGUCACGAGGGCUGUAAGAUACAGAAGUCAUAAGACUGUACCCUCCGUGCACUCUUUUUAGUAACGUGAAAAAACCAAGAAAAAAUAUUGCUCACCUAUGACCUAUAGCAGAUCUCGUUGAUUUUGCAGAAGGGGAUGAUGGAUCCAUACUGACUGUAGGGCUAAGAACAUUAAAAAAAAAGGUAAUGUAUUCCCAGCCCAAUAAUAUGAUGAUUUUAAAAUAUAAGUAAUUCUCUU